RNAcentral lists this ribosomal RNA (253 nucleotides) under uncultured bacterium. RNAcentral's name for it is "partial 16S ribosomal RNA". It matches the Rfam family "Bacterial small subunit ribosomal RNA", at positions 524 to 776 of the family's 1533-position model. The record is from RNAcentral.
UACGUAGGGGGCAAGCGUUGUCCGGAAUCAUUGGGCGUAAAGAGCGCGUAGGCGGCCCAGUAAGUCCGCUCUGAAAGUCAGAGGCUCAACCUCUGAAUGCGGGUGGAUACUGCUGGGCUAGAGUCCGGAAGAGGCGAGUGGAAUUCCUGGUGUAGCGGUGAAAUGCGUAGAGAUGUGGAGGAACACCAGUGGCGAAGGCGACUCUUUGGUCUGUAACUGACGCUGAGGCGCGAAAGCGUGGGGAGCAAACAGG